AUACGUAGGGGGCGAGCGUUGUCCGGAAUUACUGGGCGUAAAGGGCGUGUAGGCGGCCUGUCAAGUCAGGGGUGAAAGCCCGGGGCUCAACUCCGGGUGUGCCCUUGAGACUGAUGGGCUUGAGUGCUCCAGAGGGCAGUGGAAUUCCCGGUGUAGCGGUGAAAUGCGUAGAGAUCGGGAGGAACACCAGUGGCGAAGGCGGCUGCCUGGGGAGCAACUGACGCUGAGGCGCGAAAGCUGGGGGAGCAAACAGGAUUAGAUACCCUGGUAGUCCCAGCCGUAAACGAUGAGUGCUAGGUGUGAGGGGUAUCGACCCUCCUCGUGCCGUAGCUAACGCAAUAAGCACUCCGCCUGGGGAGUACGGCCGCAAGGUUGAA
This 377-nucleotide ribosomal RNA is filed under the name uncultured bacterium. Its description in RNAcentral is "bacterial SSU rRNA". It matches the Rfam family "Bacterial small subunit ribosomal RNA", at positions 523 to 898 of the family's 1533-position model. The record is from RNAcentral.